AUCAUUGGGGAACGCUCAUGCUCCCGGAGAAUUGUUUUAAGUACCGUAGCGUGAUAGAUUCUGAAACCCAACAGCAACAGGCUCCGAUAUUGAGUACAUAAUAAUAUCACGUUGUCGCCUAAAAUUUCCAAGGGAGUGUAGAAGCCAUUGCUUUAAGAACCGAAGAGCCUUUUUCUGAAGCGCAUAAGAGCUCUUUGUUUGAUUUCUAACUAGUGCAAUAGGACCAUAAUUAAAGCGAACGAGCCGAAGGACAAAUCGGGUCACAUUUCAAGGCAUUUGCUUGCCAUAGAUCUACCAAACCUAGCAACCAAAGUGUGCAACAAGCUUGAUCCAAGAGCAAGGGUCCAACGUCCAAGCGAUAAGGAUGUCAGGCCAAGAUAUGCGCUAGCCAUUAAUCUCUUUAGCCACACCAUAAACAAG
RNAcentral lists this unclassified non-coding RNA (420 nucleotides) under Hevea brasiliensis (rubber tree). Lineage: Eukaryota; Viridiplantae; Streptophyta; Magnoliopsida; Malpighiales; Euphorbiaceae. The record is from RNAcentral.